UACGUAGGGGGCAAACGUUGUCCGGAUUUACUGGGUGUAAAGGGUGCUCAGGCGGUUUUGUAAGUCAGAAGUGAAAUCCUAGAGCUUAACUCUGGAACUGCUUUUGAUACUGCAAGGCUUGAAUGUGGAAGAGGAGGAUGGAAUUUCUGGUGUAGCAGUGAAAUGCGUAGAUAUCAGAAAGAACACCAGUGGCGAAGGCGGUCCUCUGGUCCACUAUUGACGCUAAAGCACGAAAGCGUGGGGAGCAAACAGGAUUAGAUACCCUGGUAGUCCACGCCUUAAACGAUGAAUACUAGACGUUGGGGUUAAACUCAGUGUCGCAGCUAACGCAUUAAGUAUUCCACCUGGGGAGUACGAUCGCAAGGUUGAA
RNAcentral lists this ribosomal RNA (370 nucleotides) under uncultured bacterium. RNAcentral's name for it is "bacterial SSU rRNA". It matches the Rfam family "Bacterial small subunit ribosomal RNA", at positions 524 to 898 of the family's 1533-position model. The record is from RNAcentral.